CCCCUAGAUGUUCUGGGCCGCACGCGCGCUACACUGAACAGUUCAACAAGUCUUAACCUUGGCCGAUAGGUCUGGGUAAUCUUUGAACGCUGUUCGUGAUUGGGAUAGACCCUUGCAAUUAUGGGUCUUCAACGAGGAAUUCCUAGUAAACGCAAGUCAUCAGCUUGCAUUGAUUACGUCCCUGCCCUUUGUACACACCGCCCGUCGCACCUACCGAUUGAAUGGUCCGGUGAAAUCUCGGGACGGCGGCUUGGUCGCUUGCGUCCGACUGCUGAAACUUGAUUAAACCAUAUCAUUUAGAGGAAGGUGAAGUCGUAACA
Molecule: ribosomal RNA, 320 nt
Filed under: uncultured eukaryote
Lineage: Eukaryota
Description: partial 18S ribosomal RNA
Rfam family: Eukaryotic small subunit ribosomal RNA
Source: RNAcentral